Molecule: ribosomal RNA, 292 nt
Filed under: uncultured bacterium
Lineage: Bacteria
Description: partial 16S ribosomal RNA
Rfam family: Bacterial small subunit ribosomal RNA
Source: RNAcentral
GUGUCAGCCGCCGCGGUAAUACGGAGGGUGCAAGCGUUAUUCGGAAUUACUGGGCGUAAAGCGCGUGCAGGCGGGUGGAUAAGUCUGAUGUGAAAGCCCGGGGCUCAACCCCGGAAGUGCAUUGGAAACUAUCCAUCUUGAGUGCUGGAGAGGAAGGGGGAAUUCCCGGUGUAGAGGUGAAAUUCGUAGAGAUCGGGAGGAAUACCAGUGGCGAAGGCGCCCUUCUGGACGGCAACUGACGCUGAGACGCGAAAGCGUGGGGAGCAAACAGGAUUAGAAACCCGUGUAGUCC